GACGAACGCUGGCGGCGUGCCUAAUACAUGCCAGUUGAGCGCUGAAGGUUGGUACUUGUACCAACUGGAUGAGCAGCGAACGGGUGAGUAACGCGUGGGGAAUCUGCCUUUGAGCGGGGGACAACAUUUGGAAACGAAUGCUAAUACCGCAUAAAAACUUUAAACACAAGUUUUAAGUUUGAAAGAUGCAAUUGCAUCACUCAAAGAUGAUCCCGCGUUGUAUUAGCUAGUUGGUGAGGUAAAGGCUCACCAAGGCGAUGAUACAUAGCCGACCUGAGAGGGUGAUCGGCCACAUUGGGACGGAGACACGGCCCAAACUCCUACGGGAGGCAGCAGUAGGGAAUCUUCGGCAAUGGACGAAAGUCUGACCGAGCAACGCCGCGUGAGUGAAGAAGGUUUUCGGAUCGUAAAACUCUGUUGGUAGAGAAGAACGUUGGUGAGAGUGGAAAGCUCAUCAAGUGACGGUAACUACCCAGAAAGGGACGGCUAACUACGUG
This 497-nucleotide ribosomal RNA is filed under the name uncultured bacterium. RNAcentral describes it as "partial 16S ribosomal RNA". It matches the Rfam family "Bacterial small subunit ribosomal RNA", at positions 28 to 507 of the family's 1533-position model. The record is from RNAcentral.